CGAAGGAUGCAAGCGUUAUCCGGAUUCAUUGGGUUUAAAGGUGCGUAGGCGGACUGAUAAGUCAGCGGUGAAAUCUCUCAGCUUAACUGAGAAACUGCCAUUGAUACUGUUAGUCUAGAGUAUAGAUGACGUUGGCGGAAUAUGACAUGUAGUGGUGAAAUACUUAGAUAUGUCAUAGAACACCGAUUGCGAAGGCAGCUAACGAAACUAUAACUGACGCUGAGGCACGAAAGUGCGGGGAUCAAACAGGAUUAGAUACCCUGGUAGUCCGCACCGUAAACGAUGAUUACUCGUUGUUGGCGAUAUGACAGUCAGCGACCAAGCGAAAGCGAUAAGUAAUCCACCUGGGGAGUACGCCGGCAACGGUG
Molecule: ribosomal RNA, 368 nt
Filed under: uncultured organism
Description: bacterial SSU rRNA
Rfam family: Bacterial small subunit ribosomal RNA
Source: RNAcentral